UAAGGAAUAUUGGUCAAUGGAGGCAACUCUGAACCAGCCAUGCCGCGUGCAGGAAGAAGGCCCUAUGGGUCGUAAACUGCUUUUGAACAAGAGAAAACCCCGGUACGUGUACUGGGUUGAUAGUAUUGUUAGAAUAAGCAUCGGCUAACUUCGUGCCAGCAGCCGCGGUAAGACGAAGGAUGCAAGCGUUAUCCGGAUUCAUUGGGUUUAAAGGGUGCGUAGGCGGACUGAUAAGUCAGUGGUGAAAUCUCUCGGCUUAACCGAGAAACUGCCAUUGAUACUGUUAGUCUAGAGUACAGAUGAUGUGGGCGGAAUAUGACAUGUAGUGGUGAAAUACUUAGAUAUGUCAUAGAACACCGAUUGCGAAGGCAGCUCACAAAACUGUAACUGACGCUGAGGCACGAAAGUGCGGGGAUCAAACAGGAUUAGAUACCCAUGUAGUCCCUGAGCGGGCUGGCAAGGCGCAU
RNAcentral lists this ribosomal RNA (467 nucleotides) under uncultured bacterium. RNAcentral describes it as "bacterial SSU rRNA". It matches the Rfam family "Bacterial small subunit ribosomal RNA", at positions 355 to 825 of the family's 1533-position model. The record is from RNAcentral.